UCCCUCUCAGGAUCACACCUGGGGAGUUUCCAGUACUCUACCAGUCUUGACUACCGGAGAGAGAGUCAAACAGAGGCCUAUCCAUUCCAUUCCUAGUUUGAGAAAUGGCUAGCGAGUGGAAGGCAAUCUGCUACAAGU
This is a small nucleolar RNA of Ornithorhynchus anatinus (platypus), 138 nucleotides long. Lineage: Eukaryota; Metazoa; Chordata; Mammalia; Monotremata; Ornithorhynchidae. The record is from RefSeq and is a predicted model, not a curated record.